RNAcentral lists this long non-coding RNA (493 nucleotides) under Nicotiana benthamiana. RNAcentral describes it as "long non-coding RNA (NBEN_LNC028807)". Lineage: Eukaryota; Viridiplantae; Streptophyta; Magnoliopsida; Solanales; Solanaceae. The record is from RNAcentral.
UUUGCGUGGAAAACACCUAGUUCAAAAGGUGAAAAAAUCAUAACCUACCUUCUAAUAGGAUUUUCCAAAACUCUUCGCUAAAAUCACUAAGCCAAAAGCUGCAUUUACAAAAACUCUUUUAAAAACCUCGGAUGAACUAUAAUCCUAUUGUAGCACACAUCCUCAACUAUUGAGACAACAUGAAGUUAACUCUAACUUAAAAACUCUGAGUACCUAAUAUAAUUGCUUCUAGAUAAAGCUGAAAAGUACAAUAUGAAAAUACCUACUACAAUUGAACGAGAAUAAAAGAUAGACACUUGGAACUAGUUCUUCUAUUUGUUUCAACUAGCUUUAGAUUUGCACGCUUGAAUCACGCACAAAUUACUUGCAAAACUUCCUUACUAUUUUGCUCUAAAUUCAUGUUUAACUUCUGCUUAUAUGCAUUACCUGUAAAAGGGAACAACACUGAUAUUGGUAGAGUUAGUAAAUAGAGAUACACUAGAAUUCUGAUGCU